This 396-nucleotide ribosomal RNA is filed under the name uncultured bacterium. RNAcentral describes it as "partial 16S ribosomal RNA". It matches the Rfam family "Bacterial small subunit ribosomal RNA", at positions 523 to 918 of the family's 1533-position model. The record is from RNAcentral.
AUACGAAGGGUGCAAGCGUUAAUCGGAAUUACUGGGCGUAAAGCGCGCGUAGGUGGUUUUGUAAGUUGGAGGUGAAAGCCCCGGGCUCAACCUGGGAAUUGCCUCCAAAACUGCAUGACUAGAGUACGGUAGAGGGAAGUGGAAUUUCCUGUGUAGCGGUGAAAUGCGUAGAUAUAGGAAGGAACACCAGUGGCGAAGGCGACUACCUGGACUGAUACUGACACUGAGGUGCGAAAGCGUGGGGAGCAAACAGGAUUAGAUCCCCUGGUAGUCCACGCCGUAAACGAUGUCAACUAGCCGUUGGGAUCCUUGAGAUCUUAGUGGCGCAGCUAACGCAUUAAGUUGACCGCCUGGGGAGUACGGCCGCAAGGUUAAAACUCAAAUGAAUUGACGGGG